AGCUUUGUGCAGUGGCAAUAUCAUAACCAGUGAGGUUUAUCCGAGGCACGAUUAUUGCUAAUUAAAAAAAAAAAAAAGAAACCCUAAGUCACAGUUUGACUUUUUCAGACACUAAAGUGCUUCCUAUAGCUUAUUAGU
Molecule: small nuclear RNA, 138 nt
Organism: Echinops telfairi (small Madagascar hedgehog)
Lineage: Eukaryota; Metazoa; Chordata; Mammalia; Afrosoricida; Tenrecidae
Product: U4 spliceosomal RNA
Exons: 1
Source: RefSeq, a predicted model, not a curated record